AUUGAACGCUGGCGGCAGGCCUAACACAUGCAAGUCGAACGGCAGCACAGAAGAGCUUGCUCUUUGGGUGGCGAGUGGCGGACGGGUGAGUAAUGUCUGGGAAACUGCCCGAUGGAGGGGAUAACUACUGGAAACGGUAGCUAAUACCGCAUAACGUCGCAAGACCAAAGUGGGGGACCUUCGGGCCUCACACCAUCGGAUGUGCCCAGAUGGGAUUAGCUAGUAGGUGGGGUAAUGGCUCACCUAGGCGACGAUCCCUAGCUGGUCUGAGAGGAUGAACAGCCACACUGGAACUGAGACCCGGUCCAGAAUCCUACGGGAGGCAGGAGUGGGGAAUAUUGCACAAUGGGCGCAAGCCUGAUGCAGCCAUGCCGCGUGUAUGAAGAAGGCCUUCGGGUUGUAAAGUACUUUCAGCGGGGAGGAAGGCGGUGAGGUUAAUAACCUUGCCGAUUGACGUUACCCGCAGAAGAAGCACCGGCUAACUCCGUGCCAGCCGCCGCAGUAA
This 505-nucleotide ribosomal RNA is filed under the name uncultured bacterium. RNAcentral's name for it is "partial 16S ribosomal RNA". It matches the Rfam family "Bacterial small subunit ribosomal RNA", at positions 30 to 523 of the family's 1533-position model. The record is from RNAcentral.